CAAGCCAUUGUUAUUAUCAUCAUUUUUACGUUUUCACACACAUACUGAUACAUGUAUUUCUCUCAUUUUCAAGAAAGCGGAAACGAUUUGCAUCCAACAAAGAGACAACUGAAUGAGCGGGCACAUUUGUCGGAAUUAAGUGCAUGUGCAUUGGGGAUGUGUUAUGAGUUGUGAAUCGUGAGAGAUCACCGCCACCCAUUUGCAAAUUGACUCGAACACUUGAUUUGAUAUUUGAUCAACAGCUAUCAUCUCUGGUAGGUCGAAAGGGGGACCACAGUUUUUUCCGAGUAUCAGGAGCUUUAAUGCUUGAAGGCCGGUGGUUCAAGUCCAAUGUUGCCUAAUCUGUGUAAAGCUUCACGUGGCGAUU
RNAcentral lists this unclassified non-coding RNA (367 nucleotides) under Hevea brasiliensis (rubber tree). Lineage: Eukaryota; Viridiplantae; Streptophyta; Magnoliopsida; Malpighiales; Euphorbiaceae. The record is from RNAcentral.